GUGUUCAUAAAAAGGAGAGAUGGUUGGCAUCUCCCCCGGCAGGGACGGGAACAGCCUUCGGGCUUUACCUGUUACCAGACACAUCCGGUCUUUU
Molecule: non-coding RNA, 94 nt
Organism: Nicotiana sylvestris (wood tobacco)
Lineage: Eukaryota; Viridiplantae; Streptophyta; Magnoliopsida; Solanales; Solanaceae
Source: Rfam